Molecule: ribosomal RNA, 428 nt
Filed under: uncultured bacterium
Lineage: Bacteria
Description: bacterial SSU rRNA
Rfam family: Bacterial small subunit ribosomal RNA
Source: RNAcentral
CUAAGAAUAUUCCGCAAUGGACGAAAGUCUGACGGAGCGACGCCGCGUGGAUGACGAAGGCCGAAAGGUUGUAAAAUCCUUUUGUCGAGGAAGAAUAAGCUGGGGAGGGAAUGCCCUGGUGAUGACAUGAAUCGAUGAAUAAGCCCCGGCUAACUACGUGCCAGCAGCCGCGGUAACACGUAGGGGGCGAGCGUCGUUCGGAAUUACUGGGCGUAAAGGGCAUGUAGGCGGUUCGAUAAGCCUGGCGUGAAAUGCUGCAGCUUAACUGCAGCACUGCGUUGGGAACUGUCGGACUAGAGUUACGGAGAGGAAGCUGGAAUUCCAGGUGUAGGGGUGAAAUCUGUAGAUAUCUGGAAGAACACCAAAGGCGAAGGCAAGCUUCUGGCCGAUAACUGACGCUGAGGUGCGAAAGUGUGGGGAUCAAACAG